RNAcentral lists this unclassified non-coding RNA (250 nucleotides) under plant metagenome. Its description in RNAcentral is "partial contains small subunit ribosomal RNA, internal transcribed spacer 1, and 5.8S ribosomal RNA". The record is from RNAcentral.
GUAGGUGAACCUGCGGAAGGAUCAUUAAAUAUCGGUAGUUUUACUGCCGUUUGAAGGGGGUGGAAACUUUCUAGGCCUGCCUAGGGACGAGUACAUCCUGUUCUUAACCCUUGACUUUUUGCGCACUCAUGUUUCCUUGGUGGGCUUGCCCGCCAAAAGGAUAAUUUAAUAACCUCUUUAAUUUUCAAUCAGCGUCUGAAUUAUUUUAAUAAUUACAACUUUCAACAACGGAUCUCUUGGUUCUGGCAUC